RNAcentral lists this ribosomal RNA (459 nucleotides) under uncultured bacterium. RNAcentral's name for it is "partial 16S ribosomal RNA". It matches the Rfam family "Bacterial small subunit ribosomal RNA", at positions 338 to 795 of the family's 1533-position model. The record is from RNAcentral.
CCUACGGGUGGCAGCAGUGAGGAAUAUUGGUCAAUGGGCGGGAGCCUGAACCAGCCAAGUCGCGUGAGGGAAGACGGUCCUACGGAUUGUAAACCUCUUUUGCCGGGGAGCAACGGGGUCCUUGCGAGGGCCCGAUGAGAGUACCCGGAGAAACAGCAUCGGCUAACUCCGUGCCAGCAGCCGCGGUAAUACGGAGGAUGCGAGCGUUAUCCGGAUUUAUUGGGUUAAAGGGUGCGGAGGCGGGCUGUUAAGUCAGCGGUCACCUGUCGGGGCUCAACCCCGGCCUGACGUUGAAACUGGCAAACUGGAGUGUGUGAGAGGAUAGUGGAAUUCCAGGGGUAGGAGGGAAAUCCGUAGAUAUCUGGAGGAACAUCAGUGGCGAAGGCGACUAUCUGGCACAUAACUGACGCUGAGGAGCGAAAGCGUGGGUAGCAAACAGGAUUAGAUACCCUUGUAGUC